RNAcentral lists this ribosomal RNA (487 nucleotides) under Shigella boydii. RNAcentral describes it as "partial 16S ribosomal RNA". It matches the Rfam family "Bacterial small subunit ribosomal RNA", at positions 1 to 477 of the family's 1533-position model. RNAcentral also lists the same sequence under 1 other name. The record is from RNAcentral. Lineage: Bacteria; Pseudomonadati; Pseudomonadota; Gammaproteobacteria; Enterobacterales; Enterobacteriaceae.
AAAUUGAAGAGUUUGAUCAUGGCUCAGAUUGAACGCUGGCGGCAGGCCUAACACAUGCAAGUCGAACGGUAACAGGAAACAGCUUGCUGUUUCGCUGACGAGUGGCGGACGGGUGAGUAAUGUCUGGGAAACUGCCUGAUGGAGGGGGAUAACUACUGGAAACGGUAGCUAAUACCGCAUAAUGUCGCAAGACCAAAGAGGGGGACCUUAGGGCCUCUUGCCAUCGGAUGUGCCCAGAUGGGAUUAGCUAGUAGGUGGGGUAACGGCUCACCUAGGCGACGAUCCCUAGCUGGUCUGAGAGGAUGACCAGCCACACUGGAACUGAGACACGGUCCAGACUCCUACGGGAGGCAGCAGUGGGGAAUAUUGCACAAUGGGCGCAAGCCUGAUGCAGCCAUGCCGCGUGUAUGAAGAAGGUCUUCGGGUUGUAAAGUACUUUCAGCGGGGAGGAAGGGAGUAAAGUUAAUACCUUUGCUCAUUGACGUUA